UACGGAGGGUGCAAGCGUUAUCCGGAUUCACUGGGUUUAAAGGGUGCGUAGGCGGGCAGGUAAGUCAGUGGUGAAAUCCUAGAGCUUAACUCUAGAACUGCCAUUGAUACUAUCUGUCUUGAAUAUUGUGGAGGUAAGCGGAAUAUGUCAUGUAGCGGUGAAAUGCUUAGAUAUGACAUAGAACACCUAUUGCGAAGGCAGCUCACUACACAAUCAUUGACUCUGAGGCACGAAAGCGUGGGGAUCAAACAGG
Molecule: ribosomal RNA, 253 nt
Filed under: uncultured bacterium
Lineage: Bacteria
Description: partial 16S ribosomal RNA
Rfam family: Bacterial small subunit ribosomal RNA
Source: RNAcentral